GAUGAACGCUAGCGGCAGGCCUAAUACAUGCAAGUCGAACGAUAGAAGAGAGCUUGCUCUCUUUGAAAGUGGCGCACGGGUGCGUAACGCGUAUGCAACCUACCUUAAUCAGGGGGAUAGCCCGAAGAAAUUCGGAUUAACACCGCAUAAAAUCACAGUACAGCAUUGUACACUGAUCAAAUAUUUAUAGGAUUAAGAUGGGCAUGCGUGACAUUAGCUAGUUGGCGGGGUAACGGCCCACCAAGGCGACGAUGUCUAGGGGAUCUGAGAGGAUGACCCCCCACACUGGUACUGAGACACGGACCAGACUCCUACGGGAGGCAGCAGUAAGGAAUAUUGGGCAAUGGAGGGAACUCUGAACCAGCCAUGCCGCGUGCAGGAAGACAGCCCUCUGGGUCGUAAACUGCUUUUAUUCGGGAAUAAACCUACUUACGUGUAAGUAGCUGAAUGUACCGAAGGAAUAAGGACCGGCUAAUUCCGUGCCAGCAGCCGCGGUAA
This 498-nucleotide ribosomal RNA is filed under the name uncultured bacterium. RNAcentral describes it as "partial 16S ribosomal RNA". It matches the Rfam family "Bacterial small subunit ribosomal RNA", at positions 28 to 523 of the family's 1533-position model. The record is from RNAcentral.